This 1543-nucleotide long non-coding RNA is filed under the name Malus domestica (apple). RNAcentral's name for it is "long non-coding RNA (MDOM_LNC011077)". Lineage: Eukaryota; Viridiplantae; Streptophyta; Magnoliopsida; Rosales; Rosaceae. The record is from RNAcentral.
UCGCCUGAAAAUCCAACUAUUUCCAAAAAUUACCAAAAUUUACAAGAAUGAAGAUCUUAAUGAGUAGAGUAACUUUCAUACCUGCGACCAAGGCCAAUUUGGCCGGUGAGAGCUUCAAUUGUACAUAAAUCCGUCGAAAACCGUAAAGAUGGUGUGCUUCGAUUCGACCUCAAUGCUCACUCCAACGCCUCCACAAGUGUUUGGGCUUUGUUCCUGAGGUUGAGGGGAGUUUAUUUGUAGUGGUAAUUGGAGGAGGUAGCUUCCAAUCAUGGCGGAAUGAAACCCAACCCUUGCGCCCCCUUUUUGCAUGGUUUUACCCAAAAUUCACCAAUUUCCACCCAAUUUUCACAUGUAAAUGGAAGAGGGAUCGGUUGGCCUAGUGGUAAGGAUUAUUUUGACACUAACCUUGUCAUCCAAGGUGGCUGGAGAUGGGAGAAUCCACCAGGUUGGGUCACGGGUUGAGGGAAACCCGGUUUCCCCUUUUUCUUUUCUCCCUCAUUUCUCCUCCUUGCUCUCUUCUCUGGUUGGUCCCUCACUUCUCUUCUCUUCCUGAUUGGGCAGCAGCCCUUCCCUUCUCCUCCUUUCUUCUUCUCCCCCCAUUCCUUUUCUUUUUCUUCCCCUUUUCUGUCACACACACACACACACACACACACACACACACACACACAAACACACACUCGUACACACACACAUGUCUUCCUAAUUUAGCAUACAUUAAUAUAAUAUAAAUAGAAUAGUUAUUUCUUCAAAAUACUUUCGGUUCGUAAUUCCAAAUUCACUUCUGCUUGCGCUUACUCGUUUAUAUCGUCAAGUACUUCAGGAAUACGCUAAAAGAAUAUUUAGUACGUCUCACUACACAUUGGUCAAUGAAAGUCAACACCUUCACCUCUAGGGCAUUUUCGUAAAUUCACACUUUUAAAAUUACAAAAACCAUAACUUUUAGGGACGGGAUGUCACAGCUAUAUAUAGGUAAUAAAUCUAUUAAUUGACUAAUUAACAUAUUUUGAAAGAAAUUAUUUGGGGAGUUAUGGAAUGAUUAAGAUAAUUAGCUAAAAAAGGGAAAAUGAGGUAAAAAUAUAUAUGGAAUGAAAUAGGUUUUGGGAGUUACCUUGUAGAAGGGAUUUGAUGAGAUAGGUAUUGAAUUGCUACAUAUAUUGGGCACUUUUGACUUGGUUGAGGGAUGAUUACCCGCUACUCGCGUGUAGGAAUCCCAAUAUGCCUCAAGGGUAUUUUUGUCAUCUUUUGUCCAAAAAUCCACGUGUCGCCUUGUGAUUAUUUUUUGCUCCACAAAUGUCCCCACACUUGUUGGGCUACUUGUAGGAAAGGGCAACAGGUGUAGAGAUCUUCUUGCUUUAGGAAACGUAGGACUGUUUCCUAUUUUGAUGUAAAUUCCCUCUUUAAUAGGAAAGUAGAUCCUUCUAGGAAAAGGAAAUAAAUUUAUCUCAAAGCCUAUUUAAGUUGACCUUAAGUGGGUUAUUAAAUCAACUUUGGAGAGCGAUUUAUUCUACCCUACAAGAGAGAUAGAGCUUAGAAGAUAUUUGUU